Long non-coding RNA from Mauremys reevesii (Reeves's turtle), 1934 nucleotides. RefSeq lists it as uncharacterized. The transcript is spliced from 4 exons. Lineage: Eukaryota; Metazoa; Chordata; Testudines; Geoemydidae. The record is from RefSeq and is a predicted model, not a curated record.
GAAUGCAGGGAAUCAGAAGGUGCCUGCAGGAUAUUGAGUAAGUAGGGAGGUGCCCUGAAUAACCAAGGGACAGAUUGGGAGACCUAGAAGGCAAGUAAAGAGGUGAGAAAGGAAAUAGCACAGGGAAAACUGCAAUAUGGAUAGAAGAUUUGACUUAGCUGUGCAGUACAGGGCCCCAGGCUGUAACCCAGAAUUGAGGUUGGGACUGGAUUCCCCUACCAGCCUCAAGGAAGCGGUGUGCCAGGGUAGCUGAGCCCAGCAAGGGGGCUGCAGGCUGAAUGUGACCUCGCUGAAGAAGAACUGUGGAGAGGCUGGCAGCUUUUUAUUUCUGUUAAGAUAGCUUUGAACUUUAGUGUGGAUAGCUGACCCUGGAAGGAAUGGGCUAGAGACUGUGCCCUGUCUGGAGGGAUGAGUUGUCUGAAAGAAACCACCACAGCUCCAGAGUGAUUGUUGACAAGGGCUACUACCCUGCAAAGACACUGCGAUGCCAUGCCUGGCCAUGAGGAAGUGCAUAGUGGUAUAAAUAUCAAGCUUUGGAAAGUCUUGAUAGAGGGUUUUAAACACCAUCGUGUAGAGAACAUCCAACCAGGUCAAUUGUGAAGAUUACAAACAAGGUAACUGUUCUCAGAACUCUUUUGAAGGUGAAGAGUGGAAAUGUUUAUAAUAUGAAUAAAUACAAAAGUGUUUGAGACCCAAAUAAAUCAUUACUAUUACAUACUAUGACACGGAGUGCAUACCCCAUACUGGACAAGAGGGGGUUAACCCCACACUAUGGAUGGCGGAAGUCCCAGGCCUCAGACCAUGAUGGGCAUGCUCCAACUACUGCCUCAGUAUAAAAGGGAGCAGCCCAGCUCAUUCUAGGCUGACCACUGGAGGGGGAAGGACCUUCGGCAGAAGAUUCAGCCAAAGAGCCAUCACAGUCUUUGCCUCUGGGAACUGGAGACCUCUGAAAGCCAGACGGGAGAGCUGCAGUUGACAGAGCAGCAGGGACUCACCCGUGAUGAGGAGCCCAGGAACCCCAAAGCUCAAUGAACUAUGAUACCUGGAAAUGCGGUAGGAAGUGACCCAGGCAGGGUGCAUGAGCGGUACUUACUACCUGAGUGAGGUCAGCGUGUUUCAAUGGGAGUCCCCACUGACCCAGCAGCAGACCACUCUGCCGCUGUCAGGCCCCUGGGUUGAGGCCCGGUGGAGUCAAGUAGGCCCAGGCCUCCCUACCCGGGCUUCCACACACACACACCACCGGUGGCCCCUUCCUCCUUCCUGGAUACUGGCCAUUGGGCCUCACUGCCCCGCGCCUAGGGGCUAUGAUAGUGACUCUGGCCAUUGGGGUCACACUGCCCUGUACCUGAAGGCUAUAUGAACCCUGGCUGCUAGACCAUAUUUCUCUGUGUCUGAGGGCAGUUAUAUUGACUCUGGCCACUAGGCCACACUGCCCUGGCUGCAAGGGCCGCCGGCACUGACUUUUGCCGCAAGGGCCGUACUGCCCUGCUGGAAUUGACUCUGGCCACCAGGCCAUGCUGCUCUGAACAUAAGGGCCACAGUAACUGACUUUAGCCAUUAAGUGGUGCUGUCCCAAACACAAGGGCUGCUGGAAGUGACUCUGGCUGCUUUCAGCCUAAAGGCAGUCGGGGAGACUGUAACGGUGGUGGUAUCACGACACCGCCCCAAAAGGAGGACAGGAAACACAGCUUCCACUGAUGAGCUGACACGAAAUGAUGCACAGAAUUGCACAGAACAUCUUGGCAGCUAGGGAACUCCUGUGACUACUUCAAUAACUCUAAGGGCUUUCAUCACAUGCUGUAUCUAUGCCUCUAAUAAAAACUCAUGUACCAUACUCCAUAUUUUAGUUUUAAAACACUGUGAAAGCAAAUGAAGUUGCCGAGUGCACUUGACUUUUCAGGAGUUUGGGGUAAUUUGUGAAAUAUGUCUGGACC